GCUCACUCUUGACAACAGUCUUCUUAUUCAUUGAUGUGCUAACUUACAAAGAAGUACCAAUGGGGGGAGUCUAUAUCAGCUGACCGGAGAAAGGCUAAGCUUACUUUGCCACGACACCUUAGGGGUAUUUCUAUGGCUUCUUAGUCUUCAUGAUUGAAACUCCGUUAAUUAGAAAUGAGUUGAUAAGUAUGAAAAUAGAAUGAUAAGCAAGUUUAUAGCACAUGCAUGGACCAUAUUUUCAUUUCUAAGGAGUUACAAACACUAAAUAACAUCUAGUAAUACAUAAGUUAUAGAAUUGGUUUCUUGAUGUUACUAGGAUGUGGUUCUCCCUUGUUUUCUUCAAACCUAAAGAAUCACAGAAGAAAAAAAAUCAAAGAUUACCAAGAUUCUUACAUGCAAGACGAAUUUGUAAAGUUAGCCACACUUCUUUUGGUAAAUUUGAAAGCUUUGAACUCAAGGAAACUUCAAAAAUUCAUGGAUUCACUUUUCACCUAGAACAUAAUUUUUGUAAAUUAAAAUCAAGGAACUAAACUAAGGAAUUAACUUGAAUUAAGGCCAAAUGUAGAAUCCUCAUACCUUAAUUGAGUGGAAACCACUCUUGCAUGCAAGAAAAUGGAGGAAAAUAAGCUCUUCUCUCUCUAGGACCAAGACACCACACAUUGAGCAAGGAAGAAUAUAGAGUUGUAUUUGUU
Molecule: long non-coding RNA, 692 nt
Filed under: Lupinus angustifolius (narrow-leaved blue lupine)
Lineage: Eukaryota; Viridiplantae; Streptophyta; Magnoliopsida; Fabales; Fabaceae
Description: long non-coding RNA (LANG_LNC002790)
Source: RNAcentral